This 232-nucleotide ribosomal RNA is filed under the name uncultured bacterium. Its description in RNAcentral is "partial 16S ribosomal RNA". It matches the Rfam family "Bacterial small subunit ribosomal RNA", at positions 99 to 334 of the family's 1533-position model. The record is from RNAcentral.
CGGACGGGUGAGUAAUGUCUGGGAAACUGCCUGAUGGAGGGGGAUAACUACUGGAAACGGUAGCUAAUACCGCAUAACGUCGCAAGACCAAAGAGGGGGACCUUAGGGCCUCUUGCCAUCGGAUGUGCCCAGAUGGGAUUAGCUAGUAGGUGGGGCAACGGCUCACCUAGGCGACGAUCCCUAGCUGGUCUGAGAGGAUGACCAGCCACACUGGAACUGAGACACGGUCCAG